GCCCGUGUGGCGGAAUGGUAGACGCAGUAGACUUAAAAUCUGCGAACCGCAAGGUUGUGGGGGUUCGAGUCCCUCCACGGGCACCA
RNAcentral lists this transfer RNA (86 nucleotides) under Holosporales bacterium. RNAcentral's name for it is "tRNA-Leu". It matches the Rfam family "tRNA". From Rfam's summary of the family: Transfer RNA (tRNA) molecules are approximately 80 nucleotides in length. Lineage: Bacteria; Pseudomonadati; Pseudomonadota; Alphaproteobacteria; Holosporales. The record is from RNAcentral.